RNAcentral lists this ribosomal RNA (1214 nucleotides) under Enterococcus faecalis. RNAcentral's name for it is "partial 23S ribosomal RNA". It matches the Rfam family "Bacterial large subunit ribosomal RNA", at positions 204 to 1423 of the family's 2925-position model. Lineage: Bacteria; Bacillati; Bacillota; Bacilli; Lactobacillales; Enterococcaceae. The record is from RNAcentral.
UAGUACCUGCAGGAAGAGAAAGAAAAUUCGAUUCCCUGAGUAGCGGCGAGCGAAACGGGAAGAGCCCAAACCAACAAGCUUGCUUGUUGGGGUUGUAGGACUCCGAUAUGGUAGUCUGUUAGUAUAGUUGAAGGAUUUGGAAAAUUCCGCUAAAGAGGGUGAAAGCCCCGUAGACGAAAUGCUGACAACACCUAGGAGGAUCCUGAGUACGGCGGAACACGAGAAAUUCCGUCGGAAUCCGCGGGGACCAUCCCGCAAGGCUAAAUACUCCCUAGUGACCGAUAGUGAACCAGUACCGUGAGGGAAAGGUGAAAAGCACCCCGGAAGGGGAGUGAAAUAGAUCCUGAAACCGUGUGCCUACAACAAGUCAAAGCUCGUUAAUGAGUGAUGGCGUGCCUUUUGUAGAAUGAACCGGCGAGUUACGAUUGCAUGCGAGGUUAAGUCGAAGAGACGGAGCCGCAGCGAAAGCGAGUCUGAAUAGGGCGAAUGAGUAUGUAGUCGUAGACCCGAAACCAUGUGAUCUACCCAUGUCCAGGUUGAAGGUGCGGUAAAACGCACUGGAGGACCGAACCCACGUACGUUGAAAAGUGCGGGGAUGAGGUGUGGGUAGCGGAGAAAUUCCAAACGAACUUGGAGAUAGCUGGUUCUCUCCGAAAUAGCUUUAGGGCUAGCCUCGGAAUUGAGAAUGAUGGAGGUAGAGCACUGUUUGGACUAGGGGCCCAUCUCGGGUUACCGAAUUCAGAUAAACUCCGAAUGCCAUUCAUUUAUAUCCGGGAGUCAGACUGCGAGUGAUAAGAUCCGUAGUCGAAAGGGAAACAGCCCAGACCACCAGCUAAGGUCCCAAAAUAUAUGUUAAGUGGAAAAGGAUGUGGGGUUGCACAGACAACUAGGAUGUUGGCUUAGAAGCAGCCACCAUUUAAAGAGUGCGUAAUAGCUCACUAGUCGAGUGACCCUGCGCCGAAAAUGUACCGGGGCUAAACAUAUUACCGAAGCUGUGGACUACACCAUUAGGUGUAGUGGUAGGAGAGCGUUCUAAGGGCGUUGAAGGUCGAUCGUGAGGACGGCUGGAGCGCUUAGAAGUGAGAAUGCCGGUAUGAGUAGCGAAAGACAGGUGAGAAUCCUGUCCACCGUAUGACUAAGGUUUCCUGGGGAAGGCUCGUCCGCCCAGGGUUAGUCGGGACCUAAGCCGAGGCCGAUAGGCGUAGGCGAUGGAC